Molecule: RNA transcript, 3236 nt
Organism: Carya illinoinensis
Lineage: Eukaryota; Viridiplantae; Streptophyta; Magnoliopsida; Fagales; Juglandaceae
Gene name: cyclic nucleotide-gated ion channel 1-like
Exons: 5
Source: RefSeq, a predicted model, not a curated record
UAUAUAUAUUGAGAGAGAGAAAAAAAGUACCGCCAAAGGAGAGAAACAAAAGCUCUUCUAGAAUGCCGCCGCAUCUGCACCCUUCUAAACUUCUAAACCCAAUUUCGAGCUUUACGCGCUUUCCUUUGUUCCUCGAUCGACCGAAUCUAUCAGCCAAUCAGACGAAGUUCGUGGUUUAUACAAAGAGUUUGAACUCAUUGAAGGUUCAUUAUUAAUUUUGUAUUCUGCAUUAUUGAUAAGCAUUUCCAUGAGUUUCCGCAGGCGUCCGCGUCGGCAAGACAGCCGGGUCAGGGAUGAGGAUGUUGAGAGGCAAUCCCUCAACAAUGAUGGAGUUGAUUCGAAAGAAAAGAAAACAACAAAGACAUUUCUUGAUCCAGAGGGGCAGUUCCUUCGAAUCUGGAGGAUGAUUUUUGCAGUGUUGGGUAUGAUGGCAGUAUCGGUGGACCCUCUAUUUUUCUACCUCCCCAUUGAUAUUCUCGCCAUUCUUCCCCUCCCUCAGAAAUCAGUGGCUCAGAAUCUGUGCACAAAAGGAAGCUUCUUAAUGGUGUUGUUCUCUACUAAUAUGUGCCAAGACUUAUCCGAAUCUCCAUGUUCAUCCGGGCUGGGAACAAACAUUCUCGAGUUGUGCGGGUGAAAGCUGCAUUAGAUCUCUUUCUGUACAUCAUGGCCAGUCACAUGGUCAUACCUCAUAGGCGGAAGCUUUGCAGAUGAAAUCAGCCCAUGAAAUCUUCUUCCUAACACUCGCCGACGACGGCGAGCACCGCUUCAGUCGACUCCCUCAUCUCGGUUCUCUCCCAAGUCAAAUCCCAAGCCACUUCAGUCGACCACCGCCCACGGCAAGUUCUUCUCCGAUGGGUUCGACCUAUCCUGGGCCCAAGCCGCCAGAUCCUCCUCCGGCGCCCGCAAGCGGCUCCACCACAUGGUUGAGUCCUUCAGACCGGUCGCCUGCCGCCGCCGGAUCGCGCUCAGCCACGACUACGUCUUCAUGCGGCACGAUAGAGGCGUGCUGUACAUGCCCCUGUCGACUGAGUCCCUUGUAUCCGGAAGAGACCAAACAGCAAAGUCAAGAAGUUCCUUCUAUCCAGAAACUCGAGAAGUCACUUAGAAACGGGUAACGGGUAAUGCCCGAUAAAAUGGAAAACGGGUACGGCCAUCCCUGCUUCCGAAGAACAUAGAAACGGUUCGGGCAUUUUUGGUCGGUUCGGGUCGGCUAAAUCGGCCGGGUCGGAAGACCGGCUUAUUUGUACACCCCUACCCAUAACACUUGGGUUUCCGUUACAACUGACAUUAAUAUUUAAUUUCACUCUUCCUGCAUCUGGCGGCCUCCAAUGGACAAUGAUCGGCAUCUUCGAACUUCUAUGUUGGAACGGUACUUCAAGCAAUCUCAGAAUUUCUUCAUCAUGUCUCGACAACACUUCUUCAUCUUUGAUCUUCAUAGUAGACCACCGAAUAGAAAAUUUUAGUCUCGCCCACACCAACUGCACUGAUUGAUGAAUGUCUUCCAUUCUAGCUUUGCAAUGUCUAUUCCAUAAGCACCAAAGAACAAUGCAUGGAAUUAUGCCGAAAAGAGAACCAACCUUUGCAGAUUUUUUUGCUUUGUGGAACCAACAAUUAACUCAAUCACGCCAACCCCUUCCUCUCUUAGAUUUCAAACCCACACCAUCAAACAUUUUAUCCCAAAGCAUUUCCACAAACUCACCAUUUGUUAAGACAUGGUCUAGAUCUUCAUAUGCCCCAGAAGAGCAACAAUUGCAUCUCGACACAAUAGGAAUCCCCAACAUUCGCACAUUGUCAUCCACACUCAAAGCAUUUAAAAAUGCUUUCCUUUAAAUGCUUUCCAAAUUAUAACAGUUUUUAUUUUUUAACUUUUUUAUUAUUUUAUUAUUUAUUAUUUUUUUUGGGGGGGGAGUGUAAAGAGGGAUGCCAUACCCAUUUAGCAAGACCAAGCACUCUUUGUAGUGAACUUCCCAUCAACAUUUUCAGUUCAUACUAAAAUAUCCUCCCCUUGUUUGUGAUGACCCAGCCAUUGCAUUAUGGAUAAAACAUUAUCAACGCCAACCACCUGAGUAAUCAGUCCAAAACCCCAUUCAUUUUGAAGCUUACAUCCCCGAACCAAGAUCUUUGGGAAAGGACUCACCAGAAAAGAAUUUAUUAGAGACCCAUCAUCCGACCAUUUAUCAUGCCAAAAUGAAAUUCUCCCCUCCCUUAUUUUCCACCAAGGUUGAUUUAAAACCAAAGGAAUACAUCUACCAAUCAUAUGCCAACUUCGAGAUCCCUUAGAAGGAUCAAUCAAGAUUACUUUUAACGUACUUAGCCCGGAAAAAUUUGGCCCAAAGCGGUUUUUCAUGAAGUAAUUUCCAAACAAAUUUAACAUGCAAGGAACGUUGAAUAUCAUCCAACGUCUUUAGUCCUGUGCCACCUUCCUCCACCGGCAAGCAAAUCUUGUUCCAAGCUCUCCAACAUCUUUUAUCACCCCCUUGUGAAGAGCCCCAAAAAAAUUUACUAUGAGGCAACCAUUUAUUCUCUGCAACACAAUUUUAGGAGCCUGGACACAAGAUAAUAAAUGAAUAGGCAAACUUAUCAAAACUUGCCAAAUUAAAACUAGACGAGCACCUUGAGAUAAAAGUUGGGUCUUCCAUCCUCGUCUUAUCAUUUGUAUUGCUUAAUUAUUCAAGUUUUCUUAAUUUGGCAAGUCUCAGAUCUUAUCAGGAUUUUAACUUUAGGUUGCAAAUGGAUCACCAGCUUGAUAAAUCAUAGGCAUAUAUGCACCUCACACACACAUGUACAUACAUAUAUUAUAUAUAUGAACUUCAUAUCCCUAUAUUGUUGUGGAAAGCACUAGAGCAACCAUACCCACACACAAUGAUAUCAAGACAAACAAUGAAACAAUAAUGUAGAAACACAGGAAUUAAGCACACACACACAACACACAUGAGUCUUUAAAGUGUUCGACAACAUGUCUACGUCUACAGAUAAGGGUGUAACCGGUCUAGUUUUAGAUAAAAUCUAGGACCGAACCGGUAUGUACCGGUUUCGUAUUUUCAAAAAUCGAUUACGCACUAGUUAUCUCUCUAAACUGGUAUGUCCGGUUUUAAUAGUUCCGGUCAGGCCGAUCCGGUUUUCUGGUUUUAAUAUAUUAAGUAUAUUAUUAUUACUAAUAUAUUUAUCAAAAGAAAUAUAUUGAGAAUUUAUUAGGAAAUAAAAUGUAUUUAAUAUAUAUAUAUUUUGUAUUUAAA